GUGAAAAUCAAUUCCAUUGAAGGAGAUCUCCUAGCACUGGUUGCUAGAGCAUCAGCAAUGACAGACAAUAUCCCAGAGGUCAUGAAGGUUUGUGGUGUUUUUCCUUGUGAUGGGGGUAGAUAAUACAUGCAUUGGUUUGAUGAUGCUAAGUCCAGCUGCGGGUUGCUCAGGAGGAGCUGUAAGAAGAAAUGUGCACUACUCCUAUACUGAAAUACUCAAAAACUCUUCUGAGGUCUUCCCUGAACCUUGCUUCUACUUUCCACAAUUUGAG
This 271-nucleotide long non-coding RNA is filed under the name Cricetulus griseus (Chinese hamster). Its description in RNAcentral is "lncRNA (ENSCGRG00015039758.1)". The record is from RNAcentral. Lineage: Eukaryota; Metazoa; Chordata; Mammalia; Rodentia; Cricetidae.